AUUGAACGCUGGCGGAGUGCUUUACACAUGCAAGUCGAACGGCAGCACGGACUUCGGUCUGGUGGCGAGUGGCGAACGGGUGAGUAAUACAUCGGAACGUGCCCAGUCGUGGGGGAUAACGUAGCGAAAGCUACGCUAAUACCGCAUACGAUCUAAGGAUGAAAGCGGGGGAUCGCAAGACCUCGCGCGAUUGGAGCGGCCGAUGGCAGAUUAGGUAGUUGGUGGGGUAAAGGCUCACCAAGCCGACGAUCUGUAGCUGGUCUGAGAGGACGAGCAGACACACUGGGACUGAGACACGGCCCAGACGCGUACGGGAGGCAGCAGUGGGGAAUUUUGGACAAUGGGCGCAAGCCUGAUCCAGCCAUUCCGCGUGCAGGAUGAAGGCCCUCGGGUUGUAAACUGCUUUUGUACGGAACGAAAAGGCUCUGGUUAAUACCUGGGGCUCAUGACGGUACCGUAAGAAUAAGCACCGGCUAACUACGUGCCAGCAGCCGCAGUAA
Molecule: ribosomal RNA, 500 nt
Filed under: uncultured bacterium
Lineage: Bacteria
Description: partial 16S ribosomal RNA
Rfam family: Bacterial small subunit ribosomal RNA
Source: RNAcentral